This 931-nucleotide long non-coding RNA is filed under the name Equus asinus (donkey). RNAcentral describes it as "lncRNA (ENSEASG00005038254.1)". Lineage: Eukaryota; Metazoa; Chordata; Mammalia; Perissodactyla; Equidae. The record is from RNAcentral.
GACCUACAGCUGAAUGUUAUCACUUCCAGGUGAAGGGGUCCCAGGGCCUUGCUGGCCUGGAAGUAGAGUUAUACAGACAUCGCCUGCUGAUGCUCCCUUAUCCUCCAGAUCUCUGGGUCUCCUUCUAAAACAUUAGGACUAGAAGAAACUACGAGAGCAUCCAAGCAUUUCCUCCAACGUUCUGUUUUACAGUGUGUCCCCACUAGAAUGUAAGUUCCACGAGAGCAGAGAAGCUGACUGUCCGGCAGUUCUCUAACGUGCACCCAGCUUCUGGAACAGUGGCGAGCUCAGAGCAGGCCCUCAAUCAAGCAUCUGUUGAAUGAGCGCUUUGCGGGAGCCCAGAGCAGCGACCACCGGAAAGACGAAGGUCUGACUCCCACCCGUCCCCAGACAAGCGUUUCUGAUGUUUCCUCCUGAGAUGGGCAGCCACACGCCCUUGGCCUUCACCUUGAGCUGACAGGCUGGUGUCUGCGGCCCCCAGAGGCUUGGCCGGAUCUGUGGCCAGCUCCCACAGGAAGACGACAGCACAGCCCCCACCUGCACACACCCCAGCAACUGUCCUCAGCUCAGUUCUCCUCUGACAAACCUCGCUAGCGUCCUUGGCUUUUCACUCCUCAGGCUUGUGGCCAGGAAAUGCGACUCCAGAGGUGCGGGGAGAAUGUCCAGCUGUCAUUGAGAGACCCCACCAAAACCAGCUUCAUGAAUCCCGUUUAUGCAUUUGCUACAACAAAGACACUAAGGUCACUGGCCACACGGACCCUAAGGGUCUACCACCAGAAAAUCCUCCUGAGGACUUGCUCUGAGAGCUCAGGGCCAGAGAUGCCUCAAGCUCUUUAUGGAAAUGAGGAGGGGAAAAAAAAAAACAAGGAGGAGGGAAGGGAAAGUAAAUAUGAGCUAGCAAAAAAAAGCGACCUACUUUGCUACUUUGCUA